UUCAAAAACAAACAUUUAAAAGUGCCCAUGAAGUAAAAGCGUAAAAUACAGUAUGGAUUAAAAUGUGUCCAAGUUGUUCCCCCUCUACGUGUCUAUCUGGUCGAGCCAAAACUCUAUGAGAGCCUUUGCUGUAUCGCUGGUCCAGUGGAUGGGAUCACAAGAUUCUGUCUUAAAUGUUAGUGGACUGAUCUCCGGGAGUGCAUUCUUUUUCUUGGUUAUUUGCCGAUUCAGGCUUUGUAAUAAAACUUUUUGUUCUCUUUCCAAUCUGUGUGAGUAAUUGAUAAUGGGAAUGUAUAUUGAGGCAUUGGGAAAUGUCUCCUCAGCUGUCUUCAGUAGAGCAUUCAAUUGUUUGGACAUGGUAAGUGGUUGUUGGCGUCUCAGACAAUUGUUGAGACCCAAGGAGAGAAUGACCUCACUGACGGUAGUAACAGGUUGGAGUUUCUUUAGUACCUGGUCGAUAUGAUGGAACUGUGCACCAGGGAAGCUGUCAACUUGAACUUCAUCACUGGUGAACGGUGGAAUACGAGCCAGGUUGGAGUCUCCUAUUACUAGGACAGGUUUUUUGAUGUGUAGUUGCCAGUUUCUAAUUUUCUGUUCUGUUUUCUGAUGGGUUGUAGGUUCCCGGACAGAGGCAAAGCCAGACAUUGAAGGUGACUGUGUUUUGGAAAGGAGUCACCUGUUUCGGUUUGCUAUUGACCUUCCGACAAGUCUGGAAAGCCUCUGAACGGUCACCCAUCAGCCCAGGGUCCUGAUAGGGAGAUUUGGGAACAGAAGGAGGUGAUUGGGUCUCACCAAGGAGGAGGGGGGGCCCUUUUCCCACUCACCCAGGUUCUGUGUAGUCAACACCGUAAACCGGUUCUGGAGUGGCAGAGUCAUGGUGUCAUAAAAAAGCAGGUAAGAGAGAUCCCGCUGGAACCUGCCCGGAAAGAAGGGGAGAAGAGAAAAGAAAAGAAAAAGAAACUUGACUAAAGCUAAGGAGGAUCAAAUGGUCACCCAGGUAGGUAAGUAUGGGAAGGUAAGUAGGUAAAGGGAAACAGGUAAGUAAAAAACGGAAACUUGGGGUUAGGAAAGAGGAAAAG
Siniperca chuatsi (mandarin fish) is the source of this 1079-nucleotide long non-coding RNA. RefSeq lists it as uncharacterized. The transcript has 4 exons. The record is from RefSeq and is a predicted model, not a curated record. Lineage: Eukaryota; Metazoa; Chordata; Actinopteri; Centrarchiformes; Sinipercidae.